UGGGAGUCAGUGGGUCAGGUAAGGCAAGU
RNAcentral lists this non-coding RNA (29 nucleotides) under Mus musculus (house mouse). Lineage: Eukaryota; Metazoa; Chordata; Mammalia; Rodentia; Muridae. The record is from RNAcentral.